This 542-nucleotide unclassified non-coding RNA is filed under the name Hevea brasiliensis (rubber tree). The record is from RNAcentral. Lineage: Eukaryota; Viridiplantae; Streptophyta; Magnoliopsida; Malpighiales; Euphorbiaceae.
UCCGUCUCAGUUAGUUCCAUCGCCGAAGGAAAGAAAGAAACAGGCGAGUCAUUAUAAUCAUAUAUCUUCUUAUCUUAUUUAUUAAAACGGCGACGGCGCGAGGGAGAAAAAAAAAAAAAAAGAAAAUUCUGAUUUUGUUCCUUUUCUUGUUGGCAAAUCUCUCGAUCUCCAUUCUUCUCCUCUUCAGGGGGAUUCUCUCUCUAUCUGCUGCUCUGCGCAUUAUACAAUUUCAAGGAAUUUGUGGCCAACUGCUGCUGAUGCUGAUGCUGAAUUGGGUAGAAUGGAACGCAGAGUCUGAAUAAAAGACGAGCAAGAAAAAAGAAGAAUUUUGUCCAUUAGAAUUGGAUGGGUAAUAAGCUGGGAAGGAGCAGACAAGUGGUUGAUGAGAGGUAUACGAGGCCACAGGGCCUCUAUGCUCACAAAGAUGUCGACCAUAAGAAGCUUAGAAAGCUCAUUCUUGAAUCCAAGCUCGCACCAUGUUAUCCUGGGGAUGAUGAUUUUUGCAAUGAUCACGAAGAAUGCCCCAUUUGCUUCUUGUAUUA